Molecule: non-coding RNA, 24 nt
Filed under: Cricetulus griseus (Chinese hamster)
Lineage: Eukaryota; Metazoa; Chordata; Mammalia; Rodentia; Cricetidae
Source: RNAcentral
AAGGACAUCCAGCUGGCCCGCCGC